CACCGUCAGCACCCAAAGCUGAAAUUC
RNAcentral lists this non-coding RNA (27 nucleotides) under Cricetulus griseus (Chinese hamster). Lineage: Eukaryota; Metazoa; Chordata; Mammalia; Rodentia; Cricetidae. The record is from RNAcentral.